UACGUAGGGGGCAAGCGUUGUCCGGAAUCAUUGGGCGUAAAGAGCGUGUAGGCGGCCCGAUAAGUCCGCUGUGAAAGUCCAGGGCUCAACCCUGGGAUGCCGGUGGAUACUGUCGGGCUCGAGUCCGGAAGAGGAGUGUGGAAUUCCUGGUGUAGCGGUGAAAUGCGCAGAUAUCAGGAGGAACACCAAUGGCGAAGGCAGCACUCUGGGCCGAUACUGACGCUGAGGAGCGAAAGCGUGGGGAGCGAACAGG
Molecule: ribosomal RNA, 253 nt
Filed under: uncultured bacterium
Lineage: Bacteria
Description: partial 16S ribosomal RNA
Rfam family: Bacterial small subunit ribosomal RNA
Source: RNAcentral